GUGGAAAGAGAGCAGGUAACUUUUUUUCUUUGUUUUUUAACCCCUUAAGGACACAUGACAUGUGUGGCAUGUCAUGAUUCCCUUUUAUUCCAGAAGUUUGGUCCUUAAGAAUUAAUAAUAUAUGCCAGAGUGAAGAAGAUAGACAGAUCUAUAAGAUUAGGCAGAAAGAGGCUAAGCAAGUUAUAAGAGCUUUCAAGUCACACACAGAAGAGAAAAUAGCCGAGUCGGUUAAAAAGGUGAGCAAAACAUUUUUUAGAUACAUAAAUCCGAAAAGGAAAGUAAAACAAGGAUUUGUUAGAUUAAAAACAAAAGAAGGAUAGUAUGUAGAAGAUGAUAAAGGCCUAGCUGACUGCCUCAGUGAAUAUUUUUGUUCAGUAUUUACAGAUGAAAAUGAAGGAAAUGGACCUCAGUUAUAAAAAAGGACAAAUUAGCCAUUUUCUCAGGUUCUAUUUCAACUUUCAAAAGUAUAGACAAAUAAGUCAAUGGGGCCUGAUGGAAUACACCCAAAUGUAUUAAAAGAACUUAGUGGUGUACUAGCAAAACCAUUAACGGAUUUAUUUAACCAAUCAUUGUUAACAGGAGCAGUUCCAGAAGAUUGGAAAUUAGAAAAUGUUGUGCCCAUUCACAAGAAAAGUAGUAGGCAUUUAUAGGCCAGUAAGCCUUACUUCUGUAGUGGGGAAAGUAAUGGAAACCAUGUUAAAGAAUAGGAUUGAGCAUUUAAAAUCACAGGAAUUUCAAGAUCAGAGACAACAUGGGUUUACUUCAGGGAGAUCAUGCCAAACUAAUCUUAUUGAUUUUUUUGAUUGGGUAACUAAAAUAAUAGAUCAGAGUGGUGCAGUAGACAUUGCUUGCCUAUAUUUCAGUAAGGCUUUUAAAACUGGUGCACGUAGAAGGCUUAUCAAUAAACUGCAAUCUUUAAGUUUGGAUUCCAAUAUUGUUAAAUGGGUUAGGCAGUGGCUGAGUGACAGGCAACAGAGGGUUGUAGUAUUGGAGUAUAUUCGAAGCAAGGUCUUGUUACCAGCGGGGUACCUCAGGGAUCUGUACUUGAACCCAUUCUCUUUAAUAUUUUUAUUAGUGAUAUUGCAGAAGGUCUUGAUGGUAAGGUAUAUCUUUUUGCUGAUGAUACAAACAUAUGGAACAGGGUCGAUGUUCCAGGAGUGAUAUGCCAAAUUACAAAUGAUUUAGGUAAACUAGAAAAAUGGUCAAAGUUGUAGCAACUGACAUUUAAUGUGUAUAAGUGCAAGAUAAUGCAUCCUGGAUGUAAAAACCCAAGGGCAGAGUAUAGAAUAUUUGAUACCCUACUAACCUCACCAUCUGAGGAAACGGAUUUAGGUGUAAUUAUUUCAGGUGACUUAAAGAUAGGCAGACAAUGUAAUAGCGCAGCAGGAAAUGCUAGCAGAAUGCUUGGUUGUAUAAGGGGGUAUUAGUAGUAGAGUGAGGGAAGUGCUCAUGCCAUUGUACAGAACACUGGUGAGACCUCACUUUGAGUAUUGUACGCAGUACUGGAGACCGUAUCUCCAGAAGGAUAUUGAUACUUUGGAGAAAGUUCAGAAAAGGGCUAGUAAACUGGUUCAUGGAUUACAGUAUAAAACUUACAAGGAAAGGUUAAAUGAUCUUAACAUGUAUAGCUUGGAGGAAAGACAAGACAGAGUGGGAUAUGAUAGAAACAUUCAAAUACAUAAAGGGAAUCAACACAGUAGGAAGAGACUAUAUUUAAAACAUGUGAAAAUUCCACAACAAGAGGACAUAGUCUUAAAUUAGAGGGGCAAAUGUUUAACAAUAAUAUCAGGAAGUAUUACUUUACUGAGAGGGUAGUGGAUGCAUGGAAUAGCCUUCCAGUUGAAGUGGUAGAGGUUAUCACAGUAAAGGAGUUUAGGAGAUAAAGAUAAAGGAGUUUAAGCAUACAUGGGAUAGAAAUAAGGCUAUCCUAACUAUAAGAUAAGGCCAGGGACUAAUGAAAGUAUUUAGAAAAUUGGGCAGACUGUCACAUUCUAUAUUUCAAUGUAUUUCAAUGUAUUGACGAUCCACUACCUUCAGAUGGAAGGGGUUUUCAAUCCCUUUCCCCCCUCACCAUAAUUUUCUUGGUUUGUGCUGUAUUCAUGUAUAUUUAUUUAUCAUUAAGGCUCUUAACAUGAUAUUUACCACAAAAUAUUAUCAAACCAUAUACAUAUGUAGCAAAAUAAUCACAGAAAUGGAGAAUAUGAAACGGUCUGUAUCUUUACAACUUAACCCAAAGAGACAAAUAUUUAACUCCCCAUGUACAACAACCACAUUUACAUUCUGCAUAUGAUACACCAAACAUGUAUGCAAUUUUAGGAAAGUACCAGCCAUGUGUGUGACCUUCACAUGGUGCUUCAUUUCAACAAAUGAUAAGAAAAAAAAACUCAGGUUAUCUUUCCAUGUGACUAAUUUGAAUUUCUUUAAUAUAUUUUUUGUAUUCUAUAUUGUUUGAAAAUGUUAUCUUAAAAUGUAUCGUUUUGAAAAAUGUGAAAAUUGUAUAGAAUGUAUUUGCUGACAGAAUGGACAAUAUGUAUUAAUGAAAAAUCCAAAAUGAUUAGCAUAGCGCACUUGCAUUUGCCUUAUUUUCUAUUAUAAUGAGAAUAUUACUUAGACUGCUUCUGACAUUUUGUUUGCAAAUAAAUUGAACUAAAAAAACUCAAACAUCCCUUAGAUACACAGAGCAUGUGCUUCCCCAUUUAUUCAGUACCAGACUUCCCACUAGGCAGAGUAGGCACCAACCUACAAAUGCAUGUUUGAUAAGGGUGCCACAAGUGCCUAUUCUCCUGGUUAAAGGAUGCUCUCCACGGCUGUCCACAGUGCAUUGCGGUCUUUCCAGAGUGUGUUCUCUGGGUAAGUCCCAGAGAUCUGUGAUCUCUGCAGUUCUGUGUAUUCCCUCAGACAUAACCCAGUGAUCUCUACAUGACAGUGCCCCUAAGACUUAACACAGCGAUCUCAUAUCGAAAGAGGACUAGAGCCAGAAUGAUCACCUUGCGUAAAGCUUGUCAGGUACAUACACAAUCAAUGCUACCCACAUGUUGAUGUUUACUGUCACUGCUACCCACAUACAUUGUGUCACGCACCUACACACACACUGAUACCAAUAAACAAACUAAUAAACUCGUUACGACCCUCACACAGCUACCUACUGCUUCACAUACAUAUACAUACACACUGCUAUGCAUACAGUUGCACACAUACUCUUAAGUGUGUGUAUACAGCAUUUUUUAACAAUUAUUUUUAACUAUCAAGUUUUUAUGUCAAGGUUUUUGUUUUGUUUUGUUUUUUAUUUGCCUUAAUAGGAAUACUUGAGAAUUCAGUGCUUAUCGGCACUUGUGAUGUAAUUCCGGCCCUGAAUAUAUUCCUUUUAAAAAAACGAAAACAAAUGCAAUGUAUAUGCCUAAAUAAUAGCUUUUGUACAGUUUGACAUUUAAAGCACAAUGACUACAUAUUUUCCCAGUCUAAGUUAAAGCUGUGAAUUAUUGCAGAUUAUUACAAUUCCUACAGUAACUUUGGUUGACUGACUGUUUUUGUUUGUUAUUGUGGACCAACCACUGCUGUUUAGAUGG
This 3566-nucleotide long non-coding RNA is filed under the name Pelobates cultripes (western spadefoot toad). The record is from RNAcentral. Lineage: Eukaryota; Metazoa; Chordata; Amphibia; Anura; Pelobatidae.